AUAUCAUUAGAUUCUCCAAAGUCCAAACACUCCUUAGGCCACCGCUUUCUCCCCUCCCUCUCGAUCCCCACCCUCCCUCUCUCAAUUUUUUAUUUGACUUUUUCUCCGGAUCUCAAAAAUUCCCAAUUUUAUUAACUUCAAUUCAGGGUUUUUAAUUAAAAAAAAGGAAAAAAAAAUCAACAGAUUAGGGUUUUAGGGUUUUUUUUCCCGAUCUGCUAAUCUUUUUAUUAUUUCAAUUUUGUGUUUUAUUUUAUUUGUACGGGGGAAUCGGAAUGGUGGGUUCUCAGAGUCCUAACGGAACUGCGGCGAAGAGGUACGGAAUAAUGAAACCAAUCUCCGUCGCGGGUCCUACUGAACCUGAUCUCCAUCGAAAUGCGGAAUUAGAGAAGUUUUUGGUUGAUUCGGGUUUAUACGAGAGCAAAGAAGAGGCUAUGAAGAGAGAAGAUGUUCUGGGCCGUAUCGAUCAGAUUGUGAAAGACUGGGUUAAGCGAUUGACGCGUCAAAGGGGAUAUACUGAUCAGAUGGUAGAGGAAGCCAAUGCUGUUAUUUUUACUUUCGGGUCUUAUCGUCUUGGGGUGCAUGGUCCUGGGGCUGACAUAGACACCUUGUGUGUUGGACCAUCAUAUGUGAAUCGAGAGGGAGACUUCUUUAUUGUCUUGCAUGAUAAGCUGGCUGAGAUGGAAGAAGUUACUGAACUUCAGCCAGUUCCAGAUGCUCAUGUCCCGGUUAUGAAGUUUAAAUUCCAGGGAAUAUCAAUUGACCUUCUUUAUGCAAGUAUAUCCCUUUUGGUUGUUCCAGAAGACCUGGACAUCUCCAAUGGGUCUGUGCUCUACGAAGUGGAUGAGCAAACUGUUCGAAGUCUAAAUGGGUGCAGGGUUGCUGAUCAAAUUCUUAAACUUGUUCCAAAUGUUGAGCACUUUCGGGCAACACUCAGAUGUCUGAAGUUUUGGGCUAAAAGGCGCGGUGUUUAUUCAAAUGUUACUGGUUUCCUUGGUGGAGUAAACUGGGCUCUUCUAGUUGCCCGAGUGUGCCAGCUUUAUCCUAAUGCUAUUCCUAGUAUGCUAGUCUCUCGGUUCUUCAGAGUUUAUACACAAUGGCGUUGGCCGAAUCCUGUGAUGCUAUGCUCAAUAGAAGAAGAUGCACUUGGGUUUCCUGUGUGGGAUCCUCGCAAAAAUCCUCGAGACCGGUUUCAUCAUAUGCCAAUAAUAACUCCUGCAUAUCCUUGCAUGAAUUCUAGCUAUAAUGUGUCUACAAGUACUCUUCGUGUUAUGACAGAGCAAUUCCAAAGUGGUAACAGGAUAUGUGAGAAGAUUGAGCUGAACAAGGAACAGUGGAGUGCUCUUUUUGAGCCUUAUCUUUUCUUUGAGGCAUACAAAAAUUACCUGCAAGUUGACAUAGUUGCAGCAGAUGCUGUUGAUUUGCUAGCUUGGAAAGGCUGGGUAGAGUCUCGGCUUAGACAACUUACCUUGAAGAUAGAGCGGGACACUGAUGGGAUGCUGCAGUGCCAUCCUUAUCCAAAUGAGUAUAUAGAUCCGUCCAAGCAAUGCGCUCAUUGUGCUUUCUUCAUGGGUUUGCAGAGGAAAGAGGGAGUGACUGGCCAGGAGGGCCAGCAAUUUGAUAUACGGGGAACGGUUGAUGAGUUUAGGCAAGAUAUAAACAUGUACUUGCCUUGGAAACCAGGGAUGGAUAUAUAUGUCUCUCAUGUUCGUAGAAGACAGCUUCCGGGCUUUGUUUUCCCUGAUGGGUACAAGCGUUCUCGACCAUCACGACAUGUGAACCAACAGACUAACAGGACUAGUGAAGAUGUUGCAAGAUCCCAGUCUGGGUCUGCUGAGAGACAUGUUAAGCGGAAAAAUGAUUGUGAAAUGGCAGAUUUGAAGCCAGUUAAACCAGAGAAACGGGCGUCUACAAGCCCACAAAGACUGCAGUCUGUUUCUCCUUCUAGUAGUGCUGGUAGGUCUGGUAUGACAUCUCUGGCUAGUUCCUGUGAAGGGGUUAUAUUAGGGUGUUCAACCAUUGGGGACAUUGUUAGCAACUGCGAGGAUGUUGCUAGCAACUCCGAGGUUAGGUCAACUAGUUGGCAGUUAGAGAGUGAAAAAAGUGAUUUGGGGGAUGCUAGGCAGCUGGGUGUGACUGUCUAUCAGGAGUCACCCUCAAAUCGGCAGACCUCAAUGGAUGUACAUGAUUCACCAAUAGUUAGGAAUGAGCUAGAACCAGCUGAUCAUAUGAAUGGCUCAGAGCCAAUGGGAUUGAUGUUUGAUCGAAUUACAAAGCAGGAGGUGGUCAGUUCACAUGAAGUGCCAAAUUUUGAAACUGGGGAAAAACAUGAGGUUGGCGUGAAUGAAAACAUUGAGGAUUUGGGGUCAAAUUUCUUGGAGAAUGGAUCUUCAAGGAAACUGAUGAAUUGGGUUGGGGGUGCUAGUCGAGGCAUGGAGGUGGACCAAGAACUUGUCAAACCAUGUAGUCAGACAGCUGUUGUAGAAUUUGCUGAAAGUGUUAUAAGUUCACAUUCUGGCUCUCAGAACCUCAACUACGAGGGUAAUGUGUGUGCUGUGGAUGCGGAUUCACUUCUGGAAAGUGGAUGUUUGAAUGUGAGUGGAGCUGAGUAUUAUUGCAGAACAGCUUGCCAGAAGAAUUAGAGGUUUAAACUCUGAAUUGCUGCUGUACUUUACUAUUACUAUAUAAUAAAGAAUUUUCUACAUUUACUCACUGUGUUGCCUGUUCAUUUCUCUUUCUUUCCUCCUCUUCCCUUGGAACUGGGUCAAUGCGACAAUGGCUCUGUCUUUAUGAAAAUUUUAUGUGGAGAAUCAUGCAUUUGGAUUCCAGAAAUUUGUUAGAGACCUACAGCCUUGUAAUCCUUGCAGUAGGAAAUCAGGACCUAAUGUUGAAUGGUUCCAUGCAACGAGAUCUUUACUGUUGGCAGAUCCAAAAUUAGCAGAUGAAUUUGAAACGUCUGAAUUGUUCUUUUAUAUUCUAGGUUUCAUCUUUGCACAACUACUGUAAGGUUCUGUAAUUAAUACUUGUUCAAUAGUCUUACCAUGCUAAUUGUUUUGCACAGAGUAUCUCCCAACUGGUGCAUGUGUGGUGACUGGUCCUGCACCACUAUAAGUGCUAUGUUUCCACCGAAGACUGCAAUUGGGAAAGUUUUAAAUUCUCAAGAUGGUGCUAGGUCAGAAUCUUUGCAGAAGCCAAUGAUAAGGCAUGCAUUUUAAAACCCUGAUUUUCAUCAUGUUAAUCAUGGUAUCUUUAUGCUGUCCUGUUUGGUUGGUUGCAUGGCUCUCUCUUUGCAGGUUGAGUCUGAAGUCAACCGCGUAGCAUUGUGCAAGGGGGAACACUGUUAUGUAAUCACUGUUUAUAAAGGAAAGGACCAGCAACUUGGUAAGUUAAACUUUAAUUGCUGGCUUUCUUUGUGGGUUUCUUGGUGUGUGUUCGGCACUACCUUGUGGACUGGGACAGGUCAGCCAUGAAUUAAACUGUCAAUAGCUCAGUGGUUUGGCCAAGUUUUGGGUGUGCGUUCCUUUGCUGCGUUUGGCAGAAGCUGUAAACUUCCUGGUGCCAAGAAACUGUUGAGCAUGCUGGUGCUUUGAAGACUUUGUGCGUUGUUAUAGAGUUGUAUUUGUUGUUUCCUUGUGGGCGUGGGGAAUUCACUUAGGCAGUUCCCCCCCAGGUGGGUGAGGAUAGUUUCCUUCCAAUGAAAUGUCUAUGUGGAAUCAACUAUACUGCAAACAAGAUCAACUUGGUUGUGUGAUUUGUAAAGGUAUUUUUGUCUUUGUAUACUCGACUUCUUGUAUGUAAGUUUAUUUAGUAA
RNA transcript from Populus trichocarpa (black cottonwood), 3808 nucleotides. It is a transcript of the gene named nuclear poly(A) polymerase 4, with no coding region annotated. Lineage: Eukaryota; Viridiplantae; Streptophyta; Magnoliopsida; Malpighiales; Salicaceae. The record is from RefSeq and is a predicted model, not a curated record. The transcript is spliced from 12 exons.